CAGCCGCCGCGGUAAUACGUAGGGUGCGAGCGUUAAUCGGAAUUACUGGGCGUAAAGCGUGCGCAGGCGGUUCGUUAAGACAGAUGUGAAAUCCCCGGGCUUAACCUGGGAACUGCAUUUGUGACUGGCGAGCUAGAGUAUGGCAGAGGGGGGUAGAAUUCCACGUGUAGCAGUGAAAUGCGUAGAGGUGUGGAGGAAUACCGAUGGCGAAGGCAGCCCCCUGGGCCAAUACUGACGCUCAUGCACGAAAGCGUGGGGAGCAAACAGGAUUAGAUACCCCCGUAGUCCCUGUCUCUUAUAC
RNAcentral lists this ribosomal RNA (301 nucleotides) under uncultured bacterium. Its description in RNAcentral is "partial 16S ribosomal RNA". It matches the Rfam family "Bacterial small subunit ribosomal RNA", at positions 509 to 807 of the family's 1533-position model. The record is from RNAcentral.